This 261-nucleotide long non-coding RNA is filed under the name Chelonoidis abingdonii (Abingdon island giant tortoise). Its description in RNAcentral is "lncRNA (ENSCABG00000022449.1)". The record is from RNAcentral. Lineage: Eukaryota; Metazoa; Chordata; Testudines; Testudinidae.
CGAGCUGGAGCCCCCUGCCUCGGGCGCGGCGCCGCUGGAGGCGGAGGAGGACGAGGAGCACUGGUUGUACGGGGAUGACACCACUGGUAAGCAAGAAGAUGGACCAAUUGCUAGACAUGCAGAAUCUUCUCAUCCUUUGCAAGAUGCUCCUCAGGAGAGCCGGCCUGUCACCAGUGAAGACCGAGAGAUGUCACAACAUGUAUGUGUUACAGCUAUAACUGUUGGAUGUGGCUGUUGCGGUGCAGUGCAUGUUCACUACUU